UAAGGGUUUAUCUUAAUUAAAGUGUCUGGGUUGCAUUCAAAAUAUGUAAAAAAAAGUCUUGCAAAUCUUA
This 70-nucleotide transfer RNA is filed under the name Desmognathus fuscus (dusky salamander). RNAcentral describes it as "tRNA-Ala". Lineage: Eukaryota; Metazoa; Chordata; Amphibia; Caudata; Plethodontidae. The record is from RNAcentral.